ACGACCUAACUUGAACAAGAUCUGUUAUAUAGGCUCAUACCACUGUAUCCUUGAGUCCUAAGGAGAUAGGCAACCAAGUCUGGUUGAUGAGGCAUAACAAUUGGACCAGAACAUGAUUAAUAGUCCCUGCACCCUUCGGGUCAUUGUGCCGUAGAUGAUCGUUCUCAGCUCCAACAAUAGUGUUGGGAUGGUUUAAUGGUUGUCUGACAGACU
RNAcentral lists this small nucleolar RNA (213 nucleotides) under Nicotiana tabacum (common tobacco). RNAcentral's name for it is "Plant small nucleolar RNA U3". It matches the Rfam family "Plant small nucleolar RNA U3". Rfam says of the family: Small nucleolar RNAs (snoRNAs) are involved in the processing and modification of rRNA in the nucleolus. The record is from Rfam by way of RNAcentral. Lineage: Eukaryota; Viridiplantae; Streptophyta; Magnoliopsida; Solanales; Solanaceae.